Long non-coding RNA from Aphis gossypii (cotton aphid), 656 nucleotides. RefSeq lists it as uncharacterized. NCBI's taxonomy places the organism in Eukaryota, Metazoa, Arthropoda, Insecta, Hemiptera, Aphididae. The transcript has 2 exons. The record is from RefSeq and is a predicted model, not a curated record.
GAUAAUCGUUAAACGAUGGUAUAUAAUAUUAUACAUCUUUUGUAGGAAUCAAAAGUGACGACAAUUUUGUCGUACCUAUUCGCGUGUAUAAUAUAUAUAAUUGCCCGUGCGUCUCAAUCGUAUUGGAGCUAUAACAGUGGGUAGAUCGUCCGAUUUCUGUUAGCUACGAUCUCAACUGGACUAUACAUAAUAUAUACUGCCGUUGUUUAUCCGUCACCAUGCCGUGCAGUUUGCGAACAAUCAUCGUUCGUGUGAAUUUCAAGUACAACAAUCAGAUCUGCGCCACCGUGUACGUAAAAAUAUUCGUGUACAGGUUCUCGUUGUGAAUCACAAGCGCAAAGUACACCAGAUGAAUAUUUUAGACGUAAUUUAAUGAAUCCGCAAUGAAUCUACCUCGAACCCGGAUUGCAAAAUACGAAUGAUAAUAGCUCUAUAUAUAAAAAAAAAAUUAUUCACUGAAAACAAGAUGAUGCCUACGUCGUCAGACGAACAAACAGAACGACGGACGACGAACGCAAUCGGUGUCAUAAGAAAACCGCACGAGAGAGUAAUCUGAAUCAUGUAAGGCGGAUUUAUUAGUGAUUAAUAUGACGAAAUAAUAUAUAAAUGCAAAAUGUCAAUGAAUUAUUAAUAAUAAUAACAAUAAUUAUAAAUUA